GGAUGUGUGGGCGACCUGGCUUUGAAGACGUCUGUCACCGCACAGAUCACCAGGGUUGAUUGGCCUGAUCUGGCUGGCUAGGCGGCUGUCCCUUUUCACCAUCAUGGCUCCACGUGUGUCCCUCCCAAAGCUGCACACACGCCUGCAAGAGGACAACCCUCGCUGGUGGCGGGGUCGCAUCUCCUCAGCCCAAGGUACACAAGCAGCUGCCCUCUGCUGGAACCUCCAAACAAGUUUUCCAAAUAAAAACCAAAAAAGGGCCGGGGGCGGGGGUGUAGCUCGGUGCGAAGACCCUGGCUUCAAUCCCCAAUGCCACCAAAAUUUUUUUAAUUUCAAAAAAAUGUAAUU
Unclassified non-coding RNA from Cavia aperea (Brazilian guinea pig), 348 nucleotides. Its record names the gene 7SK. It matches the Rfam family "7SK RNA". Rfam says of the family: 7SK was discovered as an abundant small nuclear RNA in the mid-70s but a possible function has only recently been suggested. Two independent studies have found that 7SK RNA binds the CDK9/cyclin T complex (known as elongation factor P-TEFb). NCBI's taxonomy places the organism in Eukaryota, Metazoa, Chordata, Mammalia, Rodentia, Caviidae. The record is from Ensembl.